GACGAACGCUGGCGGCGUGCUUAACACAUGCAAGUCGAACGAAGAGCGACGGAAGCUUGCUUCUAUCAAUCUUAGUGGCGAACGGGUGAGUAACGCGUAAUCAACCUGCCCUUCAGAGGGGGACAACAGUUGGAAACGACUGCUAAUACCGCAUACGAUCUAAUCUCGGCAUCGAGGAUGGAUGAAAGGUGGCCUCUACAUGUAAGCUAUCACUGAAGGAGGGGAUUGCGUCUGAUUAGCUAGUUGGCGGGGUAACGGCCCACCAAGGCGAUGAUCAGUAGCCGGUCUGAGAGGAUGAACGGCCACAUUGGGACUGAGACACGGCCCAGACUCCUACGGGAGGCAGCAGUGGGGAAUCUUCCGCAAUGGACGAAAGUCUGACGGAGCAACGCCGCGUGAGUGAUGACGGCCUUCGGGUUGUAAAGCUCUGUUAAUCGGGACGAAAGGCCUUCUUGCGAAUAGGGAGAAGGAUUGACGGUACCGGAAUAGAAAGCCACGGCUAACUACGUG
Molecule: ribosomal RNA, 510 nt
Filed under: uncultured bacterium
Lineage: Bacteria
Description: partial 16S ribosomal RNA
Rfam family: Bacterial small subunit ribosomal RNA
Source: RNAcentral